This is a non-coding RNA of Labrus bergylta (ballan wrasse), 161 nucleotides long. NCBI's taxonomy places the organism in Eukaryota, Metazoa, Chordata, Actinopteri, Labriformes, Labridae. The record is from RefSeq and is a predicted model, not a curated record.
AGUGUCUUUAUAAGCUUCAGUGUCUCUUCUCCUCACACUCCAACCCUGCUCACCUCUCAGCUGGACAGUAAGGGACGUUUACAGCACACACUGACAACAUGCUGGGGACCCUGUGCACUCUCAUCACUGCUCUAACAUAUGUUGAUGCAGUGAUAGUGUUU